Molecule: unclassified non-coding RNA, 4754 nt
Filed under: Haliotis rufescens (red abalone)
Lineage: Eukaryota; Metazoa; Mollusca; Gastropoda; Lepetellida; Haliotidae
Description: protein max-like, transcript variant X9
Source: RNAcentral
GUUUGACCGCGUGGCGUGUAGAGUUCGCCAUUUUGUUGUGGUUUGCAAGAAGGGCCGUGUUGGGCGGAGUGGGUUCUGAUCGAAGGAUGAGCGAUGAGGACAGGGAUGUGGACGUUGAAAGUGACGAAGACGACGAUGACGGGAGUAUCUGCCUGGAUUCGCCAACGUCGGGAUCUCAGGCUUCUGGCCCAUAUUUGAGUCAGGUAGCGGAGAAGCGGGCGCACCACAAUGCGUUGGAGCGGAAACGCCGGGACCACAUCAAGGAGAGUUUCCACAGCCUCCGUGACUCCGUCCCGGCCUUGGAAGGGGAAAAGGUCUCGGUAGGCAUGAACAAAGAAACAGCCCCCAUGCCUUCGGUUUCCCGGGCACAGAUUCUGAAGAAGGCAGCAGACUAUAUUCAGUUUAUGAGGAGGAAAAACCACAGUCACCAGCAAGACAUUGAGGACCUCAAGAAACAGAAUAAUAUCCUUGAACAACAAAUUCGAUCUCUAGAAAAAGCUAAAUCCACAGGAGCGUUUGCCUCACAGACUGGGGUCAAUCUGCGUGGAGGACAGAUGCCAUUUGAUGGUGGCUCAGAAUCAGAGAGCUCUGAUGUAGAGGACAAAUCAGCAGGGAGUAGACGUAAGAAAUUAAAGACAGCACCCAGCUGAGGGACAUCUGUCAUAUGACGUAAGGCAGCAAAUCAUUGCUCGGGAUUUUAUCCUUCACAUGUUUGUGCAGGUCAACUCUAUGCCAACUGAUUCGUGCAGUCUGGUACAGGACAUGAGGAGAUGGAUCGCUGCGGGGAAUUAGCUGUGUGUAGGGUUGACACUCAUUAUCAUUUUACUGUUCAGCUUCAUGCCAACUAGGACAUUUACUUGCCAGAGGAAUGAUUUCCGUGCCGGAGAAGACGGAGAGUAACUUGUGAGUUCGAGAGGACUGAUCGUAACUUCUGUGGAUUCAAAUGGGCCAACUAAAGAUCUCAAUUUGGUCAUUUUAUUAGGUAAUUCCAUGAAUUGAUUUUCUACUGUUUGCAAGAAAGAGCAAUAUGGUUGGUAUAUUUGUGUUUUAUGUUUUUAUCACUUGAAAAAUAUGCAACUGUAACUGUGUGAGAAAAAUGUUGCCGGAAACCUUUUUAAUUUGAAGAAUGUACAUCUUGAAAAUCAAAUUUAACUUCAAAAUGGACCCUAUAUUUCCCACCUACCUGAUGCACAUUAGUAACAUAAGGGUUCUUGUCAUACAAGAUGCUGAUGUCUGAAGUAGUUUCCAUUCAGAUUAUGUUGUCAUGGUUAUGUCCAUGUCUGAAAAGGAUUCAGCUUGCUCAAAUGCCAAGUGAAACAUAAUUCUAGUUGAUAUGCCACAUUCAAGGCAGUCAUGUUUGAAGAAGUAUGUUGGUGUUUCUGAUAUUACUCCAGUGUUGCUCAAACUGAUCCCCCCCCCCCAGCUGCCAGGGUAUUACCGACUUACAGACAAGCAGUUACCAUGUGUGCUUUGUUAUUGGACCAUGGAGCUUAAUGAAUGCUUCUAAUACAUGUUGCCUUUGAUAGAUAGCAACUUCAGGUUUUACUAAGUGUUAGUCAACCAUUUUUAUAACUGGAAUUAGAUCUGUUACAAAAACUUGAAAAAAAUAUUUCUAAUGCCCUCUGUCUUCAUGAUCUUAUGAAGUAUCAAACCAUGAAAAAAGCACUUUUUCACAUAAUGGCUGUGAUAUGCAGUUAAGGCUAUGAGAUGUAUUUGAAACAAUUUACUCAACUUUUGAUAAGGUUAUUCUGAGUGGCUUCGUUCCAAGUUAAACAAAAAUACAUGAUUCAAUGAUAUUUUGUCCUCUAGUGUGUACAAGGAUAGGAUAACAAAUUCCAGUACCCCUAUCAGUUGUUGAGUGGUAAGCAAACUUGAUAUGAAAUGAUAAACAUACAUAUUCUGUUUUGUUCUUAUUGAAGAAGCUUAUGAUGCUGUUGAAAUGUAGAUGCAUUGUACUAAACCCUGAUGAAACUAGGUAGGAACAUGACCAGUUGCUACCUUUAGUUGUGAUCAGUGCAGGUCUAGUGAAUGUUACUCUUCACAGUGGUGGAGUUCAGAUACUAGAGCUCGUUUUAAAGUUGCCUCGGAGUUUGUUAUAUCUUAAGUGAACUGUAGAUAGAUACUUGAAUUGUUAUGUAUACAUUGUACUAAUUGUUGAGUUCAAGCGAGAACAUUUUAAUUUGGUUGUAGAAAUGACAUGUAUGUUAUACGAACAAGAUUUUUAGUCAAGGUGUAUUUAUUUCAUUCCCAAGUAGGUCUUCAGGUGUAUGAUAAUACGGAAUAGUAUUGUACAUGAUAACAGUACAGUAUUGUAUUGGAUAACAGUAUGGUAUUGCAUAUGAUAACUGACUUGUUGUUAUCCUUCAACACGAUUAAAUCAACAUUUCAUGAUUGAUUAAAGGAAUUUGUAAAUGUUGCACUUUUUAAACUCCUUGUAGGAUAAACAAAUAUUUGUUAAAAGGUUGAGAAAUAUUUUGGGUUGGGUUUGACUGCAUCUCUUCAUUAUUCUGAUAUGGUGAAACUAACUGUAUCAGAUAUGUCAUGUGUAAAUAAAUCCAUUGUAGAAUAUCCCUUGUUGAUGUGACUGUCCACUCCAUUUAGAACUCUAUCCAUGGUGAACAUGUACCCCCUACCCAAGACUGCUGCUGCUGCUGCUGCUGCUGAACUAGGCUGCUUAUGUCAACCGACACCAUGACACAAUGUGGAUAACAACAGGUCAUGACACAAUGUGGAUAUCAACCGGUCAUGAUACAAUGUAGAUAUCAACCGGUCAUGAUACAAUGUGGAUAUCCACAGGUCAUGAUACAAUGUGGAUAACAACAGGUCAUGAUACAAUGUGGAUGUAAACAGGUCAUGAUACACUGUGGAUAACAACAGGUCAUGAUACAAUGUGGAUGUAAACAGGUCAUGAUACACUGUGGAUAACAUUUCAUGAUACAAUGUGGAUGUAAACAGGUCAUGAUACAAAUUGGAUAUCAAACGGUCAUGAUUCAAUUUAGAUAUCAACCGGUCAUGAUACAAUGUGGAUAUCAACCGGUCAUGAUACAAUGUGGAUAACAACAGGUCAUGAUACAAAGUGGAUAUCAACCGGUCAUAAUACAAUGUGGAUAUCAACCGGUCAUGAUACAAUGUGGAUAACAACAGGUCAUGAUACAAAGUGGAUAUCAACCGGUCAUGAUACAAUGUGGAUAUCAACAGGUCAUGAUAUGAUGUGGCUAUGAACCAGUCAUGAUACAAUGUGGAUAACAGGUCAUGAUACAUUGUGGACAUCAACAAGUCAUGAUACAAUGUGGAUAUCAACCAGUCAUGAUACAAUGUGGAUAACAGGUCAUGAUACAAACUGGAUAUCAACAGGUCAUGAUAGAAAGUGGAUAUCAACUGCCCAUGAUACAUUGUGAAUAUCAACCGGUCAUGAUACAAUGUGGAUAUCAACCGGUCAUGAUACAAUAUGGAUAUCAACCAGUCAUGAUAUGACAUGGACAACUGGUUGCCAUACCAUGUGGAGAAGGAGAAGUGGCCUGUAUGUAACUUAAAAGAUUGAUGAUCUCCUUAUUCCAUACAGGGAUAUACAUUGUUAGACUGAUCAGAGGUGCUUACUGACCAGGGUGCUCAUCAGCGAAUACAUCAAUCACCCCAAACAAAAGAAACGUUAAGUAUCAUGCUUCUAAGAAUUCACAUUAUGAUCCAUAAGAACAUGUUACUUUUUUGUUUGAGUAUACUACACAAACAUCUGAGAAUGACAACAUAGUGUAACCAAGGUUACACCUGUCAACAACAUUGGACCUUAUCAUGUAGGAAUAAUGCUAGCAUGAACCAUGUUACACAUUGCGUAAAAGUUAUCACCAACUUCCCAUCAAGUCCCUAGUUGUGUUGCCUUUGUGGCCACUGGUGAGCUGUAUCAAUACACUGGUACGCAACAUGGAAGGUUACUGACUAACCAUUGAUGCUAACCUCCAUGUUCCCAUGCAGUAUAUUCUACUUCUAUGGUUGUAUGUGUUGACCUGCUUGUAGACUUGUUGUAGGCUGAUAACUAACAUUGCUGCUGCUCUACAUCUGACAACAUAGACUCAGUGCUCAGUAAUCAAAGUAUGAUAACUUCCUUCAGUUGUCUUAAGCAUGUUUCAGCUGAACUUUAUCUCAUCUUGAACUUCUCCUAUCUGACUGAGCUGGCCACUGUCCAGAGUUGUGCCUGGUAGCCAUUAGAGGCUUGUGGGUUUGAACUUCAAAGUAGCCUAGACAUGGAUCAGGUGGCGACUCCGUGGCUUGGUUCAUGUCAUCUUACCUUAGUGGCGUCGGUCAUUGAUUAUUUCAAUCGCAGGAUGGUCUGGUCCAGAUUAUACACUUCUCAAAAAGAAGUAAAAGAACACCCGAUUUUCACAUGACCAUAGUUAAUUUGUCAUGGCUGGUGGGUAACCUUCAAAUUGUGAGUGUUCUUUAAUUUGUUUUGAGCAGUAUCUAAAGAUUGCCAUUGUAUAAGGAUGCAAUAUUGCUGAGCAGCAAGACUGAAUGGGAACAGAUGAAAAGAAAUGUGUCCACUAGGCUGUAUGGGCACAUAGCCUAUGUUGUAAGGUACUGCAGUAGGCUUCAUGUUCCCUCCAGCAGCAGGUUUAGUAGUUUUUUAUGUGAAGCAGUCAUCACAGAGUGCAAUGUUUUACCCUUGACAGCAGUGAGCUGCUCUGUAUACUGGUCUAACCAUGAGAUUGUCUUCAUCAUAUGUGUAUUGUAAACUGUAGACUAAAGUGUUGAUACUUGUA